Megalobrama amblycephala (Wuchang bream) is the source of this 4991-nucleotide RNA transcript. It is a transcript of the gene named gastrula zinc finger protein XlCGF57.1-like, with no coding region annotated. The transcript is spliced from 6 exons. The record is from RefSeq and is a predicted model, not a curated record. NCBI's taxonomy places the organism in Eukaryota, Metazoa, Chordata, Actinopteri, Cypriniformes, Xenocyprididae.
GUGGCGGUAAUACGUUUGUUUCCCAACCACAAACCUCAGAGGGGAAAAAAAAAGAUUUGUUUUCAGCUUGGUCUCUGUGAUAUGUCCUGCUACUGGCUUAGUGAAAACUGUUAUAAAUGUGCUUUUAAUUCAUAAAAAAAGAUUUUAAAUUGGGUCAAUAAAUACCUGUAAUAUUCCCAUCCUCAAAGUUUUCAGACGAGCAGGAAUAUCAGGAGGUGCAGCAACUCGUCUGAGAAGAUGGUGUUUGUUAAAGAGGACACGAGUCAACCAGAACCCUGCAGAGUAAUAAAACAUCAGGAACAAGCAGACCUGAUGGAAGAGAGCGAGGAGAGUGAAGAACUGAGUGAAGUGGAACAGGAACAUCAUGACAAAUCUAGAGAAAAACUUUUGAGUCGCUCAAAGACUAAAAAGACAAUUUUAAAGAAAAGAAAAGCCAAUAAAUCUACAACCUGCACUCAGUGUGGAAAGAGUUUCACAAACAAACAUAAUCUUGAGCUUCACAUGAGGAUCCACACUGGAGAGAGGCCAUUCACAUGUGAUCAGUGUGGAAAGAGUUUCACACAAUCAUCAACCCUUAAGCUUCAUAUGAGAAUCCACACAGGUGAGAAGCAGUUCAAAUGUGAUCAGUGUGGGAAGAGAUUUCUACAAAAAACAACACUUAACGUACACAUGAAGAUCCACACUGGAGAAAAGCCAUUCAAAUGUGAUCAGUGUGGGAAGAGAUUUCUACAAAAAACACAUCUUAACGUACACAUGAAGGUCCACACUGGAGUGAAGCCGCAUGCAUGCGAUCAAUGUGGGAAGAGUUUCUCAUGCAAACAUAGUCUUGAGUGUCACAUGACGAUCCACACUGGAGAGAAACAGUUCGCAUGUGAUCAGUGCGGGAAGAGUUUUCCAUACAAAGAAAGUCUUGAGCGUCACGUGCGAGUUCAUUCUGGAGAAAAGCCCUUCAUGUGUGUUCAAUGUGAAAAGAGAUUCUCAAUCAAACCAAAUCUUGAGCGUCACAUGAGAGUCCACACUGGAGAGAAGCCGUUCACAUGUAAUCAGUGCGGGAAGAGCUUCACAAAAAAAGAAUAUCUUAUGGGGCACAUGAAUAUCCACACUGGAGAAAAGCCAUACACGUGUGAUCAGUGUGGGAAGAGUUUCACACAAUCAGCAUACCUUAAAGGCCACAUGAGAAUCCACACGAGAGAAAAGCCGUUCACAUGUGAUCAGUGUGGAAAGAGUUUCCCACAAAAACCAAAUCUUAAGGUUCACAUGAGAGUUCACACUGGAGAGAAGCCGUUCAAAUGUGAUCACUGCGGCAAAACAUUUAGUAGUGCAUCAACCCUGAAGACACACCUGGUAGUUCAUACAAAGGAGAAGCCACAUUCAUGUUCUGUGUGUGGAAAGAGUUUUUCACUGCUGCAAAGUUUACAUGUACAUCAGAAAAUACAUACUGGUGUGAGAGAGUUCAUGUGCUUUGAGUGUGAGAAGACUUUUAUUACAGCAGAUGGUUUAAAACUGCACCAGAGAAUUCACACUGGAGAAAAACCUUACAAGUGUUCACACUGUGACAAGAGAUUCAGUCGGCCAGCAAAUCUGAAAGCACAUGAGAGGAUCCACAGCGGAGAGAAGCCAUUCACAUGUGAUCAGUGUGGAAAGAGUUUCCCAUUCAAACCAAAUCUUCAGCUUCACAUGAGGGUUCAUACUGGAGAGAAGCCGUUUAAAUGUGAUCAAUGCGGUAAACAUUUUUCUAGUCCAUCAAAUCUGAAGACUCACCUUAGAGUUCAUACAAAGGAGAAGCCACAUUCAUGUUCUGUGUGUGGAAAGAGUUUUUCACAGCUGGAACAUUUACAUACACAUGAGAAAAUACACACUGGUGUGAGAGAGUUCAUUUGCUUUGAGUGUGAGAAGACUUUUAUUUCAGCAAACUGUUUAAAACAGCACCAGAGAAUUCACACUGGAGAAAAACUUUACAAGUGUUCACACUGUGACAAGAGAUUCAGUCAGUCAGGAACACUGAAAGCACAUGAGAUGAUCCACAGUGAACAAAAGCCACACACGUGUGAUCAGUGUGGAAAACGUUUCUCUAUUAAAAGUAACCUGAAGAUACACAUGAAGAUCCAUGCAGUGGAGAAACCACAUCACUGCAGUCUGAGAUCAAGUUUUCCGACGAGCAGGAAUAUCUGGAGGUGCAGCAACUCAUCGGAGAAGAUGGUGUUUGUUAAAGAGGGGAAUGAGGAGGCCACGAGUGAACCAGAACCCUGGAGAAUAAAACAUGAGGAACAAGCAGACCUGAUGGAAGAGAGCGAGGAGAUUGAAGAACUGAGUGAAGUGGAGGAGAAACAUCAUGACAAACCUGGAGAAAAACCUUUGAGUCUCUCAAAGACUAAAAAGACAUUUUUAAAGAAAAGAAGAGCCAAGAAAUCUUCAACCUGCACUCAGUGUGGAAAGAGUUUCUCAAACAAACAAAAUCUUGAGCUUCACAUGAGGAUCCACACUGGAGAGAGACCGUUCACAUGUGGUCAGUGUGGGAAGAGCUUCUGUCAUUCAUCACACCUUAAGAAUCACAUGAGGAUCCACACUGGAGAGAAGCUGUUCACAUGUGGUCAAUGUGGGAAGAGUUUCACACAAUCAUCAACCCUUAAGCUUCAUAUGAGAAUCCACACAGGAGAGAAGCAGUUCAAAUGUGAUCAGUGUGGGAAGAGAUUUCUACAAAAAACACAUCUUAAUGUACACGUGAAGGUCCACACUGGAGUGAAGCCACACACAUGCGAUCAAUGUGGGAAGAGUUUCUCAUGCAAACAUAGUCUUGAGUGUCACAUGAUGAUCCACACUGGAGAGAAGCCGUUCGCAUGUGAUCAGUGCGGGAAGAGUUUUCUGUUCAAAAAAAGACUUGAGCGUCACAUGCAAGUUCAUUCUGGAGAAAAGCCCUUCAUGUGUGAUCAGUGUGAAAAGAGAUUCUCAAUCAAACCAAAUCUUGAGCGUCACAUGAGAGUCCACACUGGAGAGAAGCCGUUCACAUGUAAUCAGUGCGGGAAGAGCUUCACAAAAAAAGUAUAUCUUAUGGGGCACAUGAAUAUCCACACUGGAGAAAAGCCAUACACGUGUGAUCAGUGUGGGAAGAGUUUCACACAAUCAGCAUACCUUAAAGCCCACAUGAGAGUCCACACGAGAGAAAAGCCGUUCCCAUGUGAUCAGUGUGGAAAGAGUUUCACACAAAAACUAAAUCUUAAGCUUCACAUGAGAGUUCACACUGGAGAGAAGCCGUUCAAAUGUGAUCACUGUGGCAAAACAUUUAAUAAGGCAACAACCCUGAAGACACACCUGGUAGUUCAUACAAAGGAGAAGCCACAUUCAUGUUCUGUGUGUCGAAAGAGUUUUUCACUGCUGAGUAAUUUAAAAGUACAUCAGAAAAUACAUACUGGCGUGAGAGAGUUCAUGUGCUUUGAGUGUGAGAAGACUUUUAUUACAGCAGAUGGUUUAAAACUGCACCAGAGGAUUCACACUGGAGAAAAACCUUACAAGUGUUCACACUGUGACAAGAGAUUCAGUCGGCCAGCAAAUCUGAAAGCUCAUGAGAGGAUCCACAGCGGAGAGAAGCCAUUCACAUGUGAUCAGUGUGGAAAGAGUUUCUCAUUCAAACCAAAUCUUAAGCUUCACAUGAGAGUUCAUACUGGAGAGAAGCCGUUCAAAUGUGAUCACUGUGGCAAACCUUUUUCUAGUCCAUCAAAUCUGAAGACUCACCUUAGAGUUCAUACAAAGGAGAAGCCACAUUCAUGUUCUGUGUGUGGAAAGAGUUUUUCACUGCUGGGAAAUUUACAUACACAUGAGAAAAUACACACUGGUAUGACAGAGUUCAUGUGCUUUAAAUGUGAGAAGACUUUUAUUUCAGCAAACUGUUUAAAACUGCACCAGAGAAUUCACACUGGAGAAAAACCUUACAAGUGUUCACACUGUGACAAGAGAUUCUGUCAGACAGGAACACUGAAAGCACAUGAGAUGAUCCACAGCAGAGAGAAGCCGCACAAGUGUGAUCAGUGUGGAAAGAGUUUCUCUUGUAAAAGUCAACUGAAGAUACACAUGAAGAUCCAUGCAGUGGAGAAACCACAUGACCGCAGUCUGAGAUCAAGAACUACCAGAAAACAUCUUGAAGGAGAGGACUGAGAGAUCCAGUGAUCCAGAACCUGCAGAUGAAACAUCACAAUACUGAAGAACAAAGAGACCUGAUGGACGUGAACAAGAAAGGAACAACAGAAGCCAAAAGUCACCUGCCCUCAGUGUAAAAAACGAUCCUCAUGUAAAUCAAUGCUGAAGAUUCACAUGAGAGUUCACACUGGUUAGAAGCGAAUCAGUGAAAUCACAUCUGCCUUCUCAUUCUGAAGAAAGACCAUUUAACUGUGAUCAGUGCGGUGAACACUGAGCAUCUGUCCUGAAGAAACACCUGAAGAUUCACACAAAGGAGAAGAUUCAUUCAUAAUAUUACAGCAGAAAAGACAUGGUGGUGUGUGUUUAAAAGCAGGUAGUCCUUUACUACAGAUGAUGAAUUAAAAGAGCAGCAGAAAAUUCACACUGGGAAAAAACAAAACUAAGACAAGAGAUUAAACCAAACACGAUAAAGCAUCUCUUCCAUAGAAAUCUGUCCUGAUCAGCUGCAGUGAGAGAUACGACAAAGAAACAUCAUCCAAAGCUCAUCUUCAGGAAUUUAUGUUAAUGUUCCUAAUGGAUUUGUAUCACUUUCAUAUCAUACUGAACAUAUCAAGUUCUCUUUUAUGAAAGAAAGUAGUAGUUUUUUUUUUUGUUUUUUUUUUUAAAUGAACUCAGUGAAUCUGAUAUUAAUUGAAUCUGAUAUUAAUUUUAACUUGUUCUUCAUUGUUUUUCAUUAAAACAUCUAGUUUCUCUUCCAUUUCUACUCUUCCAUUCAAGUGUAAGAUAUACUUUCAUAUAGCCUUGAAACUGGACACUUUGCUUCUCUUCUACUAAUGCAUAAUAAAUCAUAUUUCACCACA